RNAcentral lists this long non-coding RNA (314 nucleotides) under Glycine max (soybean). RNAcentral's name for it is "long non-coding RNA (GMAX_LNC001737)". The record is from RNAcentral. Lineage: Eukaryota; Viridiplantae; Streptophyta; Magnoliopsida; Fabales; Fabaceae.
AUUGAAAUGUUUGAUAAAACUAACCAACCAUCACGUUUCCUUCACAUCCCUCCACAUUGAGGCCUUUUUCUUUGCCACCGGCAGCGCCAACCUUGAUCCCAUGACCCUUGUCUCCAGCUUCUUCAGCUUGGACAACCCCAACCCCAUGACCCUCCACCAAGGCCUUCUUCUCCGUUGAUUUUUGUUUGCACUACCUUCAUUUUCAUAUCUAUUUUGUAAUUUCUUCAAAAAAGCCUCUUGGAUCUGAUUUUGGUAUUUAGUUUUAAAUUUCUUCAAUUUUUGUUUUUUCAAUUUCUAUGAUUUUGUUGUUCUUG